Molecule: long non-coding RNA, 1599 nt
Filed under: Homo sapiens (human)
Lineage: Eukaryota; Metazoa; Chordata; Mammalia; Primates; Hominidae
Description: HSALNT0078217
Source: RNAcentral
UCUGGCCAUGUAAUACACGCCUGCUUCCCCUUCCCCUUCUACCAUAACGGUAUAUGGUGCAUAAUUGGAAAUGGAGCAUGAUGGGGAGAAGUAUGAACCAGAGACUUUUGGAAGAAGUCUGAAUUCUGUGUGCUUUAUAUACAUUUCUCAUGAGGUAAAGGAGACGAUAUCUUCCUCACCAGCAGGAUAAAUAAUAGGUGAUCAAAAGACCCCAGAGCAUGGUGCAAAAAAAAAAUAUGAAACAAACUAAUUUUCCUCGAUCUACAUUUUGGAAAACCACUGUUAUAUUUUUCAGCUCCCAGUGGGAGUUUUUAAUGCCUUUUUCAGCAACAAAACAAAACAAAACAAAACAUUGCAUUACAUACCAUAGGAGAGUAAUGGAAAAGAGAAACAAAAAUCCAGGAUUAAUUCUAAAGUCUUAUAUUCCUAAACACUAUGAAUAUAGAUAAUAGGUCUUGAUUUAAAGCUUUCCAUAUUAAUUUAAUCCCUUGUAAACUCUGCUGUUUCAUAGAAAUUAUACUUUAAGAUGAAGAUUAAAAACAGAAAAAGAAUAUUUUGUGUCUGUUCAUUCAUGUUAUUCCUUGAUUCAUUGUAGCAUAAUGAACAAAAUUUUAGUUUAAGAUUAAAAACUUGCAAUUAUGGUGACAGUUAAAUAUAUAUUAUAGAAACAUGAAAAAACUACAACUCUUUAUGACAUUCAGAGAUCAUGAAAACAUGCUAUUAAGAGAUUUUCAAUAUAAUACUAGAGUAACUUGGAAAAAUAUAAACUAAUAAUUUAAAAACUUUGUGAAAGUCAACAGAUAAUAUUUUAUAAUAUAAAGUUAACAUUCAUUUUUUAAAACUUCAACUCUAGAGCCUAGAAGAUUUGAUGAAAGAGAAACUUUUUUAUUCACUUUAUUGAUAAUGUUCAAUUGUAACAUUUCUGCUGCAUUUAAGAUAGCACAAUCUCACCUUACAAGCAAAUUACUCAUGUCUAUUUCCUAUCUCGAUAAGCACACCUAAGAGCAUACGAUUUUGUUUCCAUUCACAGAUGUACCAUAGAUACUUAUGAGGAACAUUUCCACAUGUUGCACACCUCCUUUAAUUUUGUUUGUUAGUUGGUCCUUGUAGAUCAACUUUAUGGGUUUUAUCUUGACCUAUCACAUUUAUUUGUAACAUAUGAUAAUCUGAGCAAGAAGGCAAAUGCACUUCCAUUUUGACUCUCAACCUGGAUAUACAUAUUUCCCUGACAAUGUGCAGCCUCCAUUGUGAAGACUGAACUUGAGGAUGUGUCUUAGAAAGACUCACCGGAACAUUAGCCAGAUGUUAACAAUGUAUAUUACUGCAGGUCUAAUUUGUUCUGAAAAUCUCUUUGUGAACUUGACAAAGCCAUAUGCCUCAGUAUGUUCUUUCAUCAGUUAAAAAAAAGGGGUUUGGGACUAUUUCAGCAACAAAAAUGCUAUGAAUAUAAUAUUUUGACUAACUGCCUUUUAAAUUUUUAUAUAUUUUCCAUUUGCAUUCAUUUAGGAUAUGUAAUAUAUUCAUAUAGUUCAAAAUGCAAGAGGCAUACAAUUUUAAAGAACAUGUUGAAGGCCUACCCAUCACUGUCAGCCUAAUUUA